GGGUUGUGAGGUUAAGCGACUAAGCGUACACGGUGGAUGCCCUGGCAGUCAGAGGCGAUGAAGGACGUGCUAAUCUGCGAUAAGCGCCGGUAAGGUGAUAUGAACCGUUAUAACCGGCGAUUUCCGAAUGGGGAAACCCAGUGUGACUCGUCACACUAUCAUUAACUGAAUCCAUAGGUUAAUGAGGCGAACCGGGGGAACUGAAACAUCUAAGUACCCCGAGGAAAAGAAAUCAACCGAGAUUCCCCCAGUAGCGGCGAGCGAACGGGGAGGAGCCCAGAGCCUGAAUCAGCAUGUGUGUUAGUGGAAGCGUCUGGAAAGGCGCGCGAUACAGGGUGACAGCCCCGUACACAAAAGCGCAUAUGCUGUGAGCUCGAUGAGUAGGGCGGGACACGUGGUAUCCUGUCUGAAUAUGGGGGGACCAUCCUCCAAGGCUAAAUACUCCUGACUGACCGAUAGUGAACCAGUACCGUGAGGGAAAGGCGAAAAGAACCCCGGCGAGGGGAGUGAAAAAGAACCUGAAACCGUGUACGUACAAGCAGUGGGAGCCCCACCACUAAGCCAGUGGUGAACUCCACAUACGCAUCCUUUGCUGAGGAUACGGUUAACGGAGCGAAAGCGACGUUCAACCGCAAAAGAAGCAGAGGGGGCUUAGUGGUGGGGUGACUGCGUACCUUUUGUAUAAUGGGUCAGCGACUUAUAUUCUGUAGCAAGGUUAACCGAAUAGGGGAGCCGGAGGGAAACCGAGUCUUAAUUGGGCGUUAAGUUGCAGGGUAUAGACCCGAAACCCGGUGAUCUAGCCAUGGGCAGGUUGAAGGUUGGGUAACACUAACUGGAGGACCGAACCGACUAAUGUUGAAAAAUUAGCGGAUGACCUGUGGCUGGGGGUGAAAGGCCAAUCAAACCGGGAGAUAGCUGGUUCUCCCCGAAAGCUAUUUAGGUAGCGCCUCGUGAAUUCAUCUCCGGGGGUAGAGCACUGUUUCGGCUAGGGGGCCAUCCCGGCUUACCAACCCGAUGCAAACUGCGAAUACCGGAGAAUGUUAUCACGGGAGACACACGGCGGGUGCUAACGUCCGUCGUGAAGAGGGAAACAACCCAGACCGCCAGCUAAGGUCCCAAAGUCAUGGUUAAGUGGGAAACGAUGUGGGAAGGCCCAGACAGCCAGGAUGUUGGCUUAGAAGCAGCCAUCAUUUAAAGAAAGCGUAAUAGCUCACUGGUCGAGUCGGCCUGCGCGGAAGAUGUAACGGGGCUAAACCAUGCACCGAAGCUGCGGCAGCGACACUCAGG
RNAcentral lists this ribosomal RNA (1287 nucleotides) under Salmonella enterica subsp. enterica serovar Montevideo. RNAcentral describes it as "partial 23S ribosomal RNA". It matches the Rfam family "Bacterial large subunit ribosomal RNA", at positions 1 to 1219 of the family's 2925-position model. The record is from RNAcentral. Lineage: Bacteria; Pseudomonadati; Pseudomonadota; Gammaproteobacteria; Enterobacterales; Enterobacteriaceae.